RNAcentral lists this long non-coding RNA (630 nucleotides) under Actinidia chinensis (golden kiwifruit). RNAcentral describes it as "long non-coding RNA (ACHI_LNC007905)". Lineage: Eukaryota; Viridiplantae; Streptophyta; Magnoliopsida; Ericales; Actinidiaceae. The record is from RNAcentral.
CCUGAACAAAAGUUUAUACAAUGGGAGAAGCGUCAGCAUCCAAACCACCAUUAACAACCAUGUUGGCCUCUACCGCAUUCGAACAGAGAUUGCCGCCCACCUUGGCAAAUUUCUCCAGAUCCUAAUCUGUUUGGCUCCUUCAGGUAUUUCUCUUCAUCAAAACCAGGCAGCACGAGCGAUGAAUAAGGCGUGGUAGGGUCCAGCUGCUCCACCUCAGGUGCAACCUUGCUCCAUGUGGGGUGAUCUGCAGGAAUGCCUAGCUCCUUCAAGCAAGCAAACAAGCCUUCUUGAUAAAUGCCUGGGCGAAGCUUGGCUAGCUGCUUAUCGUAAUUGUCCCUGGCUAGGCUGAUCCUGUGGUUGAACACCCACUCAUAGACCCGGGCCCAGCAACCUUCUUAAGCUCGCCAAGGCCCCUCAACACCUUGUUUAGUUGUUUAUGGACUGUAGCCACUUCAACCCAGGCUUCGGUGAUAGUUGUGUAGCUGACAUCUCUUUCUUAGAUAGGUGCAGCAAAGGCCAGCUUUGCCUCCUCGAUAGCAGUUGAAUCCACUUAGGCCUCUUCUCUAGAGAACUGAUUUUCUUUUUGGAUUUCCUGAGCUCAGAGAAUUGUUCCUUCAUUCGCUCCAAAAU